Molecule: ribosomal RNA, 205 nt
Filed under: uncultured bacterium
Lineage: Bacteria
Description: partial 16S ribosomal RNA
Rfam family: Bacterial small subunit ribosomal RNA
Source: RNAcentral
GACAGAGGAGCCAAGCGUUGUCCGGAUUGACUGGGCGUAAAGCGCACGCAGGCGGCUCGGCGCGUGGGGUGUGAAAGCUGGCGGCUUAACUGCCAGAUGCCAUCCCAUACGGCUGGGCUCGAGCCCUGCAGACGGUCCAUGGAAUUGCCGGUGUAGUGGUGAAAUGCGUAGAGAUCGGCAGGAACACCCAGGGGGAAACCGAGUG